Molecule: long non-coding RNA, 550 nt
Organism: Xenia sp. Carnegie-2017
Lineage: Eukaryota; Metazoa; Cnidaria; Anthozoa; Malacalcyonacea; Xeniidae
Exons: 2
Source: RefSeq, a predicted model, not a curated record
UUAUGUUCGUCUUUCUGAAGGUAAAACAUUAUAUGUUGGUGAUGUUGAAGAGAGUGGGCUCAUUCGAACGAAUCUCCUGAAGUGAACAGACAAACACCAUUGUAUAGUACCAAAUGGAUUACUAUCAAUGGAACAAAAUAUAAAGUAGGAGCUACUGUCCACAUUGGUUAUGAUUAUGUUGAAUUUCCCCAGUUUUGGGAAGUUAUUGGUAUUUAUAUCAUUAACCAAAAUGUUGCAAAUGCCAUGUUUGGUAUUUCAAGAAAACAGACUGUCAGGUUUUCUGAACAUUAUCAGGCUUAUGAAGUUGCUCAGUCAAAACAGAAGGAAAUUAAAAUUAAAUAUUUUAAAGAGUUAACCUCACAUUUGCCAUUUAACUUGAUAAAGCCAUUUGGGUGUAACACAAAAUACAUUUGCCAUAGAUAUGAAAUAGAUGUAGAAUAAAUUUUACUUUCCUGAACACAGCAUAUUCAUGCAUUAUCGUAAUGUAUAUAUUAUGGCCUUUCAAAAAAGCUGAUUAUCUUUGGUAUAAAUUAUUCUAUUUACUGUUUAA